GCCUGGGUAGCUCAGUCAGUUAAGUGUCUGACUUCAGCUCAGGUCAUGAUCUCAUGGUCCAGUCCAUGGGUUCGAGCCCCAUGUUGGGCU
RNAcentral lists this transfer RNA (90 nucleotides) under Felis catus (domestic cat). It matches the Rfam family "tRNA". From Rfam's summary of the family: Transfer RNA (tRNA) molecules are approximately 80 nucleotides in length. Their secondary structure includes four short double-helical elements and three loops (D, anti-codon, and T loops). The record is from Rfam by way of RNAcentral. Lineage: Eukaryota; Metazoa; Chordata; Mammalia; Carnivora; Felidae. RNAcentral also lists the same sequence under 2 other names.